UACGUAGGGUGCUAGCGUUGUCCGGAUUUAUUGGGCGUAAAGGGCUCGUAGGCGGUCAGUCGCGUCUGCUGUGAAAACUCGGGGCUUAACUCCGGGCCUGCAGUGGGUACGGGCUGACUAGAGUGCGGUAGGGGAGACUGGAAUUCCUGGUGUAGCGGUGGAAUGCGCAGAUAUCAGGAGGAACACCGAUGGCGAAGGCAGAUCUCUGGGCCGUAACUGACGCUGAGGAGCGAAAGCGUGGGGAGCGAACAGG
This 253-nucleotide ribosomal RNA is filed under the name uncultured bacterium. RNAcentral's name for it is "partial 16S ribosomal RNA". It matches the Rfam family "Bacterial small subunit ribosomal RNA", at positions 524 to 776 of the family's 1533-position model. The record is from RNAcentral.